GAUGAACGCUGGCGGCGUGCCUAAUACAUGCAAGUCGAGCGAACGGACGAGAAGCUUGCUUUUCUGAUGCUAGCGGCGGACGGGUGAGUAACACGUGGAUAGCCUACCUAUAAGACUGGGAUAACUUCGGGAAACCGGAGCUAAUACCGGAUAAUAUUUUGAACCGCAUGGUUCAAAAGUGAAAGACGGUCUUGCUGUCACUUAUAGAUGGAUCCGCGCUGCAUUAGCUAGUUGGUAAGGUAACGGCUUACCAAGGCAACGAUGCAUAGCCGACCUGAGAGGGUGAUCGGCCACACUGGAACUGAGACACGGUCCAGACUCCUACGGGAGGCAGCAGUAGGGAAUCUUCCGCAAUGGGCGAAAGCCUGACGGAGCAACGCCGCGUGAGUGAUGAAGGUCUUCGGAUCGUAAAACUCUGUUAUUAGGGAAGAACAUAUGUGUAAGUAACUGUGCACAUCUUGACGGUACCUAAUCAGAAAGCCACGGCUAACUACGUG
This 497-nucleotide ribosomal RNA is filed under the name uncultured bacterium. RNAcentral's name for it is "partial 16S ribosomal RNA". It matches the Rfam family "Bacterial small subunit ribosomal RNA", at positions 28 to 507 of the family's 1533-position model. The record is from RNAcentral.